This 221-nucleotide ribosomal RNA is filed under the name uncultured bacterium. RNAcentral describes it as "partial 16S ribosomal RNA". It matches the Rfam family "Bacterial small subunit ribosomal RNA", at positions 57 to 305 of the family's 1533-position model. The record is from RNAcentral.
GCAAGUCGAGCGCUUCCCUUCGGGGCGGAGCGGCGGACGGCUUAGUAACGCGUGGGAACGUACCCUUCGGUAAGGAAUAGCCACUGGAAACGGUGAGUAAUACCUUAUACGCCAUUUGGGGAAAGAUUUAUCGCCGAGGGAUCGGCCCGCGUUAGAUUAGAUAGUUGGUGAGGUAAUGGCCUACCAAGACUACGAUCUAUAGCUGGUUUUAGAGGAUGAUC